GCGGAGGAAAAGAAACCACCAGGGAUUGCCUCAGUAGCGGCGAGUGAAGCGGCAAAAGCUCAAAUUUGAAAUCUGGCGUCUUUGGCGUCCGAGUUGUAAUUUGAAGAAGGUAUCUUUGGGCCCGGCUCUUGUCUAUGUUCCUUGGAACAGGACGUCACAGAGGGUGAGAAUCCCGUGCGAUGAGAUGACCCGGGUCUGUGUAAAGUUCCUUCGACGAGUCGAGUUGUUUGGGAAUGCAGCUCUAAGUGGGUGGUAAAUUCCAUCUAAAGCUAAAUAUUGGCGAGAGACCGAUAGCGAACAAGUACAGUGAUGGAAAGAUGAAAAGAACUUUGAAAAGAGAGUGAAAAAGUACGUGAAAUUGUUGAAAGGGAAGGGCUUGAGAUCAGACUUGGUAUUUUGCAUGUUGCUCUCUCGGGGGCGGCCGCUGCGGUUUACCGGGCCAGCAUCGGUUUGGAGCGGCAGGAUAAUGGCGGAGGAAUGUGGCACGGCUUCUGCUGUGUGUUAUAGCCUCUGACGAUACUGCCAGCCUAGACCGAGGACUGCGGUUUUUACCUAGGAUGUUGGCAUAAUGAUCUUAAGUCGCCCGUCUUGAA
This 593-nucleotide ribosomal RNA is filed under the name Candida albicans. Its description in RNAcentral is "LSU rRNA". It matches the Rfam family "Eukaryotic large subunit ribosomal RNA", at positions 50 to 658 of the family's 3401-position model. Lineage: Eukaryota; Fungi; Ascomycota; Pichiomycetes; Serinales; Debaryomycetaceae. The record is from RNAcentral.